ACUCCUACGGGAGGCAGCAGUAGGGAAUCUUCCACAAUGGACGAAAGUCUGAUGGAGCAACGCCGCGUGAGUGAAGAAGGGUUUCGGCUCGUAAAACUCUGUUGUUAAAGAAGAACAUAUCUGAGAGUAACUGUUCAGGUAUUGACGGUAUUUAACCAGAAAGCCACGGCUAACUACGUGCCAGCAGCCGCGGUAAUACGUAGGUGGCAAGCGUUGUCCGGAUUUAUUGGGCGUAAAGCGAGCGCAGGCGGUUUUUAAGUCUGAUGUGAAAGCCUUCGGCUCAACCGAAGAAGUGCAUCGGAAACUGGGAAACUUGAGUGCAGAAGAGGACAGUGGAACUCCAUGUGUAGCGGUGAAAUGCGUAGAUAUAUGGAAGAACACCAGUGGCGAAGGCGGCUGUCUGGUCUGUAACUGACGCUGAGGCUCGAAAGUAUGGGUAGCAAACAGGAUUAGAUACCCUGGUAGGAUAGCG
Molecule: ribosomal RNA, 472 nt
Filed under: uncultured bacterium
Lineage: Bacteria
Description: bacterial SSU rRNA
Rfam family: Bacterial small subunit ribosomal RNA
Source: RNAcentral